UCCCUCGAGCCGGAUUUGAACCAGUGACCUAAGGAUCACCGUUGAAACUCUACAGUCCUGCCAACUGAGCUAUCGAGGG
This is a non-coding RNA of Cordylochernes scorpioides, 79 nucleotides long. Lineage: Eukaryota; Metazoa; Arthropoda; Arachnida; Pseudoscorpiones; Chernetidae. The record is from the annotation of a GenBank genome assembly.